This 1814-nucleotide long non-coding RNA is filed under the name Homo sapiens (human). RNAcentral describes it as "HSALNT0294572". Lineage: Eukaryota; Metazoa; Chordata; Mammalia; Primates; Hominidae. The record is from RNAcentral.
GUCCCUCGCCCCCUCCCCGCCAAGCUGGUCGCACUGUUGCCGUUUCACUGCGGCUGACGGAAGGCCAAGGAAGAAAGAGGGUAGAGACGCUGUCGCGAGGAUCAGGCUGCCCUCUCCUUUCCCAGGGACCGUGUUGGGGCCUUCUGACCACCCCGCCCCGCAUCCUGCGCCUCGGAGGCCCAACGUAGCCCAAGACACCCAUGGUCUUGAUGCUCUCCGCCUCUGUCCCAGCCACCAAAGUCCCCGCGAUGGAAUGGAGGACGGGGUGGCCUUGGGCAGAGAAGCGCUUCUUGUGCCGGAUGGAAGGAAACCGUAGCUCUGGCUGUGUUCAUCGCGAAAUGUUUUAUGGAUGUGGAGUGGGUGGGUGGCCCUGAAAAGUCAUUAGUUAAAGCCUUUGCUCGUCAUUGCUCUGGGGUCCACAUAGGAAAUGCCCGUGUCCUGCCUCAUGACCCCUUCCUGUUUCUACUCUUAUUCUACCCAUUACAAUUUGACUUUGCCUGUGUAUAUGUCUCCUCUCCCCUCCCUAACCCUGAGCUCCUGCAGGCGGCAUUGUGCUUUUUCAUCUUGAUAGCUCCCACAGUGCCUGCCUCUGAGAACCUGUUUGCUAAGUGAUUGAGAAGCUGCCAUACCCAAAACGUAGGCACCAACAGGACUUUACUGGCCCUAUCCCAAGAGCAAUUUCCAGAUUCAUUUGUUUUUGUUAAGUCCAGAACCUAUUUUACAUCUUCAUAUUAAUCCCCAUUGGGUUUUUUUUUCUUUUUUACAGCUUCAGGCAGCCUCCAUGCCUGUCUGGAUGAUGUAAAGAGAUCUUGAGGCAGAAAUGAAAGGUGAAUGACACACCUGCCCUGGACACCUGUGCACCUUCCCAGUUCCAGAUCAGGCAGUACCUAGCUCAACUGAGAAAAACAAGACAAGGGCCUAUGUGUGUCUCAGGAAAGGUUAAAAGCUCAGUGCCAAUGCAAGGGAUUUUUACAAGCAAAAGUCUCAUUAUUAAUGAGGCCAGAAAACCAAAAUGACAAUGAUCUUUGAUGAUCUGUACUGACACGCAGGGGAGAGUUUAGCUGUCUUUGAGUUUGCUGCAGUGAAAAGAAAUAUCCCAAGUGUGACUGGGAAGAGAAGACCCGGGACAGGCCAGAAACUGGAGUGAGGAAGAAAGAACCACAGAAUAUUAAUGUAAUGAAUAACUUUCAAGUCCUAUCUGGUCCGUGUCCUGGCAAAGUCCCUUGGGGUCUCUCCCCUGCUUUCCGUUCAUCAGGAUGACUGAGCUCAGUAAUUGUAACAAAGGGAGUGUAGUAGGCAAGGGGACAAAACCCAUAGUAUCCCACCCCUGAUUGACUUAUUAACUCAAUGAACACUUAUUGAAUACCUACGAUAUGCCAGAAGCAGUUCCGGGUACUGGAAAUACAUCAGUGAAUAAAACAGCCACUCAUCCUAGUAAAUCUGCCCAACUGGUGCUUCCACUCUGCGGUGCUUGUGGAUAGUGAUGAGCACCUGGGGAGAUGGGUAAAGGGAGAAAGCUGCCAGGGAAAAAGGAGGCCAAGAGGGAAGGGAGGAAGAUCAGAAAGUUGGGACACAGGCAUAGGAACCUAGGAAGAGCUGACAAAAACAGAGGGCCCAGCCUGAGAGAGGCAGCUGGGUAAAGGUGCAUGGGGCCAGGACUCCCAGCUCUGUGCACUGACCAGCUCGGGAGAGGGGAGCUCAGCCUCAGUCCUGAGGCCUCCAGAGAAUGCCUCACCCUUGCUGAAGGUUUAUUCUAGAACUCUGGGCUCACCUGUUACGUGUACCUCUCUGAGGGAGUCGAUAUGCUGCAGUUA